CCGGGGAUACCCCUCCCGGACGUCACGGAGGAGCCGAGGCCGCGGUGGAGGCCCGGGGCUCAUCCUGCACUUGCAUCACGGGUGCAGCAGCAGCUGCUCAGCUCCUUUGUGGCUUUUUCCCCUGUUGAGUAACUGCUUUGUUAACUGAAAAUACCAUGACGGGCCAGUGUGAUCACCAGCUCCAGACCUCAAAGAAAGUGAAGCUGUCAGACAAGGAGAGGGAGACUCCCCUAGUCGGCUGCGAUGAUAUCUGGUGGGUGGGUGUGUAGAGAAGCACUUGACAGUUUCCACGUAUUACUUCUUGCCUAACUAACUCUUCACCCCCAAGAGUGUUUAAAAAUACUUUUAUUUCCAUGCUGUAAAAAUUUCAUGUGUUCUGCACCCCGCCCAUUCCCCCUUCAAUUUGAAGUCUCAGGCAGAAUUGGAAUCACAAUUUAGUAGGAACCCUAAAAUUAGGUACAGUUUUUAGGAAACAGGACGUCUUUCAUUGAAUUCAUUUAAUAAGCUGCGUUUUCUAAACGUUAAUGUAUAAAAGGUCCUUGCCCACUCACAGUAGUUAUAAAGCUACUAGCCAAGUUUGUUCAUAUGAAUUGGGCUCCCUCAGUGACAGUUUUAAACCUGUAUCUUUGUUUACCUUGAAUUUAAAAAAAGAAUUCCAUUCCUUGCUGAUUAUCUCCAGGUAAAGCAUUUCUCGCUCUGAGUAGGUGUAUCUUUCUGGACGUCUAUGUUCAUUAAUUCUGUGCUUUCCUCCCCCGACCCCCUCCUUCCAUCCUCCCCUUCUUGAGUAUCAGUCACCAAUCUUGGUUCCUUGAUGAUUGUUAGGCUGAGGGCUGUUGUCUGAUUGCCCAGAGCCAAUCAGCUGGCUUAGUGCUCCUAUGGGUAGGAAGCUGGACUGACUGCUGGAGAGGUUUCAGUGGUCCCUGAUAAGUGGCAACAUUUCUGCACUCAAAUGGAAAGUCAUGGAAACAGAGACGAGGCUCUGUUAUUACAGAGUGGGACACCAUCCUCUGCUUAACCCUGUAAUAGGUCCCUAAACAUGUGCAAUUCUUUAGGUGACCUCAAGUGUAAUGGAUCAUUCUAUUCUCUUUCAAAUUAAUAGCUAUUGUUCUAUACCUUUUCAAAAGUCUGAUUUACUAGAAAUCAGGCAUAAUAUUCUGUAAGGCAUAUGUAUGACUAUUUCGGUAAUCUAAAUUUCCUUUUUGAUGACUUAAACAAAACUUAAUACUUUAUAAUUAAAAUAUCUUCUUUUAGGAAAUCAAGUGGAAUAAGACGACCAGGGUCUCUGAGGUGUUGAAAAUGUACCUGAUUUGGUCCUUUUUCUAGAAGAGGGACAUUCAUAUUUAUGUCCUAGUUUAUAUACACAAAGCAAAGAAAGCAGUUUCUGCUUUCAUGAUACUUAUGGCAGCCAAUCUGUUAACUCUUUCUAUGAAAUAACUAUUACAGGUCCAUUGGAUAAUUAACUUUCAUUUUGUUUUGGUUUUGUAGGUAGAGUCUGUCUGCAAGAAAGAACAUAAAAUACGAAAUUUGGGAGAAAUUUAUUGUGUGUGAGACAAAGCAAUUGCUAUAACAAUGUGGAAUUUAAACAAUUGCUUUAAAUGCUCUUCUGAUUAAGCAAUGAUAUUAUAAUCUUGUUGACUAUACUAUUAUGUAAAGAAUGAUAAAACAAAUGAUGAUGAGUCUUAGUAAUGCAAAGAUUGGGUGAGGAAAGGUAAAAUAAAAAAUUCAAGCCACAAGUUGUUAACUAGGGUGAAUAUAGGAAGGAAAAGUAAAAAAAUAAAAAAAUAAAAAAAACAGUAUGAGUCCAAGUUUUCUAGAAUCAGCAUAGAAGUUCUAUACUACAUUUAAGAUAUGUAUAUAAAACUUUUAACUUGAGCUGACAUUGAUUUAUAUACUUAAGUGUACUGGGCUCAAGAAUGUGAACUAAUGUAAUAGUUUUCUGUCCGACCUACCUGCAUACUAUCUGUUCCUUGUCAAUUCUGUCAUUGCCAGAUCACUCUUCCUAAAAUACGGCUUUUGUUAUGUCAUUCUUGGGCUCAAACAUCUUUAGCAGCUGGACUUUGUCUCUACAAUAAAAGCCCAAAGCCUUCACAUCCUGGCCUCUUAAUUUUCACAGGACUUCCCUGUGCUAGUCAAACUGGUAUCCUCACUGUUCUUCAAACAUCCUUUCACCCUCCCACAUUUGUUCAUAGUUUUCCUUUUUAUGGCAUUCCCUUCUUCUCUGCUUAUUGAAAUCUUACCCUUCCUCUACAGCUAGCUCAAGAAAUGAACUCAGAUUAUGCUUUAGUCUUUCAUAAGCUUCUCAUUUUACUGCCUUUUUGUGUUCUUGUGUCUGUUGCUUGUUCUCCUGUCAAACUAUAAGCUUCAGAAGCAUGCCUCACACAUCUUUGAGAUGUCUGUGGAGCCUAAAUUUAACAUAGACAGGAAAUACCCAUAAAAUAUCCCCCCAUUUAAAUUUGAAUAUGAAUUGAGAAUGGCUAUAAUAUAAGUAACAAAUUGUGUGGGUUAGGAUAUUCUUGGCAUGAGUAGAGUAUGUGAGAUCAUACAGUAGUUGUUUUCUUUAUCUGAACUUUCGAUACUCCUGAUUGAAUAUAUCUUGUCAAGGUGCCCGCCACAAGCCCAGGCAGCUGCAUGGUAUUACAAGGAAAUUGCAGUUUGGCCUGUACCUGUUAUAUCUGCGUAGAUAGAUUUGCUUAUGAUGAUUCUUUUCUGAUAAACUUUUGGUUUCACUCUUAUUCUACCCUCUUUCCCCUUCUAUGUGUACUUUUUUUUAGGCUGCUUCCUAUUAGUGCUGAACUGGAUGCUGUAGGCUAGGAAAUUUUCAUAUCAACUUCUUUGGAAAAAAUUUCUUAAGGUUUAGAGAAUUGAGAACCAUGAUAUCUAUGCAUAACCAGUUAAAAAUAAAAAUUCUUGAACUUCUUACACUUUCCAAAAUGUAUUUAAAUAAAUUUUAUAACUAUAUAUAUGCAGAAGUAAACUAGGCAAAGAGAUUUUGGAAUUAUGAUUUGUCAGAAGUUUUAGAGAAAAGCCCAUGUGACUUAGAAUAUUAAAAUUUGACAAAGAAGAAAUAUUAUAGCUCAGGAAAGAUUUUCUAUGUUAUAGGAAAUUUUGGUAAAAAGUGAAAACCCAAGAUGGAAUGAUUGCUUAGUAGUGUAAGUGCUAAUAAUAUUUUAACAUCUCAUUAAGUAAUAUUUUUCUAUUCAUUAGUAAAUAACAGGACAUGCUUGCAAUCUGGUUAAAAAGAUAGUUUAUUUCUUAUGUUUUCCCCAGUCUCUUGUAAACUCUGGAAGACCACAGUGAUUCGGGGGACAAAAGCUGUUACUCAUGUGUGAUAAAUCAAUUCAGUAUAUUAUUUCUGCCUGAGAAAUAAGAUCUGCAUUUUAGCUAGAGUUGACAGAUGAAGUAAAUAUCUCUUUUCACAUAUAACUACACAACCCUUUCCCAUCGCCUAACUCUGAAAAAAAAGAAAAAAGAAAGAAAAAAAACGAUUGCCUCACAUAUACAAGAACAGUUCCUUCAGCAUAUUCUCCAAGAGUGGGAUGCUGUAUUUCACAGAGACCACUAGAUUGCUUCUCAGAGGCCUGGAUCUGACUCUGCUGCAAUGAUGCUGCAAAGCCUUGGGGCAUCUUGACUGUUCUUUACUAUUGGACCUUUUUUUGGGAUCAUAUUUCUUAUCUCUGCCUUCAGACUUUCCCCUGAUGCUGGUCUCUGCCUUAGACCAGGGUUUUUCACAGAAAGCAACAAGGAACUAGCCAGCACCCACGUCUUCUGGAGCUUGGGGGACUGUUCAAAUAUCUGGUGGUGUGACUGCUCCUGUUGGUCAUUCAUUCAUUCCUUUUCCUGACUCUGAUUCUGAUUUCUCACUUUGAUCUUGGUGCCUGCUCUUGCAUAGUUUGCAUCUUAGCUUGUCCUCAAGAAUGUUCAAUAGAUUUAUUUUCCUCUUUUCCUUGUCCCCUCUUUCCCCAAAUCUCCCUCAUCCACUCCUUCCUUCAUUUGUGACUUUACUUUGUGGCCAACGGGGGCUAUUCUAAGCAAAUGUGUAUAAUCUUUGCCAGAAAUAAUGGUGAGUUAAAUUAAAUAAGUAAUCAUACAGCUAUUUGGUCUUGACUGGUAUGGUAAAAAGGAAGAAUAGUUCUGCACUUGGUCCAUUCUCCUGUUUAGUGCCUUUUACUCGUGGCAUAGAAUAGGGAAAUGAUCUAGGGGUCACGGCCCUUGAGUCUGCAUUAUGGCUUCACUAUUUGCUACCUGAAAAAUCUUGGGUGAGUCACUUAAAGACACUGAGUUUCUUCUUUGAAAUUUACCAAUUCUUGUCUAAUUUUUUUAGUAGUAUUAUGAUUCAAAUGAAAUAAGGUAAACAUGGAAAUGAAAGAAACUUUUUAGAAAAAAGAAUAUUCAAGCUUGGUUGGAUUUUCUGAUUAUUUUCCAGUGAACUAAUGUCAAAGGCUCUAGAAUCAGCCUUGUGUAGCUUGUUAGUCUGUAAAAAAGUAGUGGAGUAUGAUAUGGGGCAUAAUAAUAGAAAUAAUUAAGGAUUGAAAUUGGUAUUUUUGUGGCAACUUAUAGCCGUAAAUGAAAAGAAAGAGCCACACAAUGUGAAAAGGAAGUGAAGGUCAGGAUGUUGAACUUGAGGCUUAUUUCUAGUUCAACCAGAAAUUCUGGUGAGCCAAGCAAGGUAGGGGAAAGAGAAACCAGCAGAGGAAACACCCCCCUCUAGUGGCCAGCAGCCAGAUUCUAUACUUGAUUGCUAAGAUGGGUGAGGAGAAUGGAUGACUCCUUAGGAUGUUUAAGUUUCUUAAGAAGGGUCCUGGGAAUCUAGAGUUAGAACUCUUAGGGAAGUUCUUCAGCUCCAGCUUUGUUUAUCAAGAGAGCUAACACAUUUCACAGAAUAAGUAGUAUCUUGGCACUCUCAUGUGGAAUUGAUUGAAAAAUAUAGAGGCUAUGGUUGUUGGAAGAGGUUUAGUUUAUUUUUAUGUAGGCCAUCUAGAGAUCAUGAAAAUUAGGAGACUUGUUGCUAAACUUCUUAUUGUUUCUGAGACAAUACAGUGCGUGCCUUUAUAAACCCAUUUGUAGGGGGAUAAAGCCUAUAUUAAAACUUACGGAUAAUGCCAUAGCAUAGUUUUGUCUAUAUUCAUAUAAAAGAAUGUCUGUGGAUUUCCUAAGUAUGAUUUUUGAUUUGAAAAUUUUAGUGACUAUCCUGAGAACUAAAUGUUUAAUUUGCAUCUCAGAAGUGAUUUAAUUGCUACCUGUAGAAAAGUGGUGAAGUUGGGUAUAUUAAAAUAACAUAUUACCCACAAUUCAGUGG
Long non-coding RNA from Hipposideros armiger (great roundleaf bat), 5296 nucleotides. RefSeq lists it as uncharacterized. NCBI's taxonomy places the organism in Eukaryota, Metazoa, Chordata, Mammalia, Chiroptera, Hipposideridae. The record is from RefSeq and is a predicted model, not a curated record. The transcript is spliced from 3 exons.